RNA transcript from Alosa sapidissima (American shad), 3019 nucleotides. It is a transcript of the gene named FILIA-N KH-like domain-containing protein, with no coding region annotated. The record is from RefSeq and is a predicted model, not a curated record. The transcript is spliced from 6 exons. Lineage: Eukaryota; Metazoa; Chordata; Actinopteri; Clupeiformes; Clupeidae.
CUACACGCGCAGCUUGAUCAGAUUGGGCUGAGGCACACGGACGGGAUGCUCCUCUCGCGGUGAACUGAGUGCGACUCUAAUCUACACGGCACAGACGGGAGCUGCGAAACGCACGGGGCGCUUUACAUGUCCUGAGAGGACAACCAACAAUCACACACCACUUAAGUAGCAUUCGUGUAUUUAGUCAGAACGCACUCGCAUCGCAACCAUGGCUUUAGACGCGACGAUGAUUCUGCCGGCUAUCUUUUUCACAGUUGUCGCCGUUAUCAUCGGGUCAAUUUUGUUCAAGAAGAAACCCGUAAAAGAGGCACCGAAGAAGAAGCACCAUGAGCAUGAGGAGGCUCCCGCUCGCUCCGUUGAAGUCCACCACGCGACUCCAUCUGAACCACUGGAGAUUCCUGUUUUGGUGAACCACCCGAUUUUUGGGACCACGGUAUCCGCAGAAGCCGAAAAAAAAGCCGUGAAGAAGGUUGAGGAGCCCGUGGCCGCUCCCCCCGUAGUGGAGGACGUUGGAGUGGUCGAGCAGCCUGCUGUUGUCGAGGCUGUAGUCGAAGCCGUACAGGCUGCCCCAGAACCAGUACCUGUUGUAGAGGCAACCCCAGAGCCCGUGGUGGAACCCGCACCAGAACCCGUGGUGGAACCCGCACCAGAACCCGUGGUGGAACCCGUCCCUGAGCCUGUGAUUCCAGAGCCCGAGCCAGCCCCAGUGGUAGAGGCUGUCCCAGAACCCGUCGUGGAACCCGCACCAGAACCCGUCGUGGAACCCGCACCAGAACCAGUGGUGGAACCAGAACCAGUGGUGGAACCCACACCAGAACCUGUUGUAGAGGCUGUGCCAGAACCCGUUGAAGAGGUUGCACCAGAACCAGUGGCAGAGCUUGUGGAGGAACCUCUGCCCGCAGAACCCACACCAGAGCCAGAACCUAUUGUAGAGGCAGCCCCAGUCGAAGAGGCCGCACCAUCAGAACCGGCCCCUGAGCCCGUCACAGAACCCAUUCCCGAGCCAGAACACAACGAUGAAGCCGCUGGGCCAGUUGAGGAUGAUGAGGUUCCUAAGAUUGUUCCCGGUAAGAAAAGGAGCAAGUUUGAGAAGCGGUUGUCCAAGGAGGAGAUGGAGGAGGAACAAAGGAUAGAGUUGACCAACGAUUUUACCUCCCUCUAGCCCCGCCCACACAGCGCAACAGCACUGCCUGUAGAACGCUCGCUUAGACGGGGCGAUGUCUAGUUGUAUGGGAGAUGCCCAUGGCUGUUGGCAUGGCGUGAGCUUACCUGCUUACUGUGUGUCGUCUGCAUGAUGUCUUACUCCUGAUGCCCCAGCCACCAUCUCCGCCGCCGACCACUAACCACAUGGGCAAGGAGCAGCUGAGUGAGCAGUGAACUUCAUGAGACCCUGAGCACCAGCCUGUCCAUCUCUCCUCCUCCAUCCCUCUCUCCAUCCCUCCAUCUCUCUCUCCUCCAUCUCUCUCCAUCCCUCCAUCACUCCGUCAGCGUGCCCACCCCAAUCCCUCCAUCGCCUGCCCAUCCCACCACUCCUCCCCUGGCAGCAGUGUGUGUGUGUGUGUGUGUGUGUGUGUGUGUGUUGCGUGUCUGUGUGUUUGCGCUCUGUUGCCCCCCUGCUGGGGGGUAAUAAAAGUGACGCCUGACUCUCUCCUCUCCUCUACUCCCCCUGGUGGCGGUGGCGGGUAGUGACCGUGACUGCGUGGACAGGAAGCUCAUGACUGCUGCUGUGUGUUCGUGUGCUGCCUGUGAAUAGCAAAGCUUUACCCUGAACACUCAGAGCCCAGUGUGUGUGAGAGUGAGUGUAUGAUGUUCUACAUAUACAAAGAUCUUCUCACACUAUAAAGUUCAUUUGAGAGAGAUGGCCCUUUCUGACAAGGUGAUCAAAACGGAAUCUGGUUGCACAGUGUACACACGCACAGAGACACACACACACACACACACGCACACGCACACGCAUGCACACGCACAGACACACACACGCACGCACAGAGACACACACGCACAGAGACACAGACACACACGCACACGCACACACACGCACAGACACACACACACACCUUCAAAAUUACACAAGGUUUGGGAUGUCUGUUGUAGACUGCCCAUUAUUAACUUGGGUGAGGAUAGCAGCUUACAGUUAAGAUCUAUCUCUCACUCUCUCUUUCUUUCUUUCUUUCUCUCUCUCAUCCUCUCUCUUUCUUUUUGUUGUUUUCUUGUGGAAUGUUUCAUUUUAUAUUUUAUUUUCUGUGUUAUGAAGACAUGAUUGUAGUUGUAGAGGUGACCUAAAGCGUCACUGCAUGUUUGGUAUGGUCAGUAGCUUUCAGAUCUCCAAAGAUACAGUCACUAAGCAACCAGCGGUUGCCAAGGGAACGUUGGCUGUAUGGUCAGUCACCCUUAGUUUACUUGAGAUGCGUCCACCAUCACCAUGGUGACCUUACUAACCCAGCAUAACUUAGGAAGUCACCGCAACCUUCUGUGCCCUCACUGGACAUGUGCACUUUGGUGGGUCAGACGAAGGGUCGAUGUGGCUCUGAUGUGGCCCUGAUGUGGCCCUGACCUGGCUGUCUGUGAAGGGCACCUUUAUGUAGAUUUAUGAGAUAGAAACAUAGUAGUAUUUAACUCUGUGCACACAUACACAAACCAGCAUACACAUACACACACACAUGAACCCGCAUACACACUAACACACAGCAUAUGCUCACUUAUUCUCAAAUACACACGAUAUCAAUUGCACACAACAUGUUCACACACAACACACACACACACACACAAAUGUUCUCGCUCUCUGAAAGCUGUACACGUUACAACAUGUUUCAUUGAUGCGGUACUGUGCGUCCACGAACUACUCAUCUCUUGUGUACGCACACGUACACACACACACACACACACACACCCUGUACAGAGUUGUAUGACCUACAUGUAUGAUAAUAUUUCUGUUUGUAGAGUUUGAGAUGUGUUGAGCUCUGAGAAGAACUGGCUUUUUUGGAACCUGUUGGAAUUAAAAGCCGAUGUAUGAACUUGA